GAUGAACGCUGGCGGCGUGCCUAAUACAUGCGAGUCGAGCGAACAGACGAGGAGCUUGCUCCUCUGACGUUAGCGGCGGACGGGUGAGUAACACGUGGAUAACCUACCUAUAAGACUGGGAUAACUUCGGGAAACCGGAGCUAAUACCGGAUAAUAUAUUGAACCGCAUGGUUCAAUAGUGAAAGACGGUUUUGCUGUCACUUAUAGAUGGAUCCGCGCCGCAUUAGCUAGUUGGUAAGGUAACGGCUUACCAAGGCGACGAUGCGUAGCCGACCUGAGAGGGGGAUCGGCCACACUGGAACUGAGACACGGUCCAGACUCCUACGGGAGGCAGCAGUAGGGAAUCUUCCGCAAUGGGCGAAAGCCUGACGGAGCAACGCCGCGUGAGUGAUGAAGGUCUUCGGAUCGUAAAACUCUGUUAUUAGGGAAGAACAAAUGUGUAAGUAACUAUGCACGUCUUGACGGUACCUAAUCAGAAAGCCACGGCUAACUACGUG
Molecule: ribosomal RNA, 497 nt
Filed under: uncultured bacterium
Lineage: Bacteria
Description: partial 16S ribosomal RNA
Rfam family: Bacterial small subunit ribosomal RNA
Source: RNAcentral